RNAcentral lists this ribosomal RNA (370 nucleotides) under uncultured organism. Its description in RNAcentral is "partial 16S ribosomal RNA". It matches the Rfam family "Bacterial small subunit ribosomal RNA", at positions 527 to 896 of the family's 1533-position model. The record is from RNAcentral.
GGAGGGUGCAAGCGUUAAUCGGAAUUACUGGGCGUAAAGCGCGCGUAGGCGGUUUGGUCAGUCGGAUGUGAAAGCCCUGGGCUUAACCUGGGAAUGGCAUUCGAUACUGCCUGACUAGAGUAUGGUAGAGGGAAGUGGAAUUUCCGGUGUAGCGGUGAAAUGCGUAGAUAUCGGAAGGAACACCAGUGGCGAAGGCGACUUCCUGGGCCAAUACUGACGCUGAGGUGCGAAAGCGUGGGGAGCAAACAGGGAUUAGAUACCCUGGUAGUCCACGCCGUAAACGAUGAGAACUAGAUGUCGGGAGGGUUGCCUUUCGGUGUCGCAGCUAACGCGUUAAGUUCUCCGCCUGGGGAGUACGCCGGCAACGGUA